CAGUCGCCGCGGUAAUACAGAGGGUGCGAGCGUUAAUCGGAUUUACUGGGCGUAAAGCGUGCGUAGGCGGCUUUUUAAGUCGGAUGUGAAAUCCCUGAGCUUAACUUAGGAAUUGCAUUCGAUACUGGGAAGCUAGAGUAUGGGAGAGGAUGGUAGAAUUCCAGGUGUAGCGGUGAAAUGCGUAGAGAUCUGGAGGAAUACCGAUGGCGAAGGCAGCCAUCUGGCCUAAUACUGACGCUGAGGUACGAAAGCAUGGGGAGCAAACAGGAUUAGAUACACCAGUAGUCCCUGUCUCUUAUAC
RNAcentral lists this ribosomal RNA (301 nucleotides) under uncultured bacterium. Its description in RNAcentral is "partial 16S ribosomal RNA". It matches the Rfam family "Bacterial small subunit ribosomal RNA", at positions 509 to 807 of the family's 1533-position model. The record is from RNAcentral.